AUUGCUUCCCAGCCUUUUGGCUAAGAUCAAGUGUAGUAUCUGUUCUUAUCAGUUUAACAUCUGAUGCAUCCUCUGUCUGAGGACAUUAUAUGAAAUGUUUUUUGGAACAGGGAGAUGGAAUAGGAGCUUGCCACAUCCACUCCAUACAUUGACCCGGUAUCGCAGUACCUCUAGGAACAGUGCAGAGGGA
Small nuclear RNA from Molossus molossus (Pallas's mastiff bat), 190 nucleotides. RefSeq annotates it as U2 spliceosomal RNA. The record is from RefSeq and is a predicted model, not a curated record. NCBI's taxonomy places the organism in Eukaryota, Metazoa, Chordata, Mammalia, Chiroptera, Molossidae. The transcript has a single exon.